GACGAACGCUGGCGGCGUGCCUAAUACAUGCAAGUCGAACGAACCGCGACUAGGUGCUUGCACUUGGUCAAGGUGAGUGGCGAACGGGUGAGUAACACGUGGGUAACCUACCUCAUAGUGGGGGAUAACAGUCGGAAACGACUGCUAAUACCGCAUAGGACAUAGGAUCACAUGAUCCAGUGAGGAAAGGUGGCGCAAGCUAUCGCUAAGAGAUGUACCCGCGGUGCAUUAGCUAGUUGGUAGGGUAAAGGCCUACCAAGGCGAUGAUGCAUAGCCGACCUGAGAGGGUGAUCGGCCACAUUGGGACUGAGACACGGCCCAAACUCCUACGGGAGGCAGCAGUAGGGAAUCUUCCGCAAUGGACGCAAGUCUGACGGAGCAACGCCGCGUGAGUGAAGAAGGUCUUCGGAUCGUAAAGCUCUGUUGUUAGAGAAGAACAGCGCAUAGAGUAACUGUUAUGCGUGUGACGGUAUCUAACCAGAAAGCCACGGCUAACUACGUG
RNAcentral lists this ribosomal RNA (502 nucleotides) under uncultured bacterium. Its description in RNAcentral is "partial 16S ribosomal RNA". It matches the Rfam family "Bacterial small subunit ribosomal RNA", at positions 28 to 507 of the family's 1533-position model. The record is from RNAcentral.